UCGGUUCCCUGGAAACUUCCAGUCCCCCAUCCCCUGCAGUCCUUCUCAAGGGAGUCCUUGACACUUAGACAGUAGGACACCAAGAAGUCUUCCUCGGCGUGAAGCGAGAUCCGGCCAUCAUGUGACUACUUUGUGUGCUGGGCUCCUAAGUUUUGCCAAGGGACGAGUGACCUAGGAUGUGCCGACAGGAUGGGAAGACCACUCGUUAGUCACCUCUGCGGGGAGCCAUAAGGGAGUCACUCAUGUGGGGUGCCUUCCCCUCUGGUAUCGGGAUGCCUGAGGCCCAAGGAUGAUGAGAGCUCAGCUGAGCAGACUGCAAAAUUGAGUCCUGUGAGGGCUGCGAUGUGAUGGAUCCUUCCAGGGUCGUCUCAGUCCAGGUGGCAGCUGGGGAGCGGAAGACCUCUCUCUCCUCCACACCCAGGUGGCAUUCCGGCGUGUUAGAGACCUGGCAAGACAGCAAGCAGAGCCGGCCACAGAAGGAGCGCUUACAGACAGGGUGAGAGGACUUGUCUGCAGGGUGCCCACCCCUCCCUCCAUCCCCCUUCCCCUUGUGGCCUCCAGACCGCCAUGUCCAGAAGGAGGGCCGGCCAGCACCUCCGCUCUGGACCAGUCCCCCACCAUCUCGUCCCUGGAUGAUCGCUCUCAACCCCAACGGGUGUCCCUCCCUGUCCACCCUCCUGCAGCAGUCGGGGGAUGCUGUCGGAACAGGCACCCCCGGGUCCUGUCCUCUGCUCAGAGCAAAGUCCAACACGUCACCCAGAAUCAAAGCUUGGUCCUUGAAACGACCCAGAGCCCAUCAACGAGGAAUAGUCCAGUCAAAACAUUGUGGUGCAUCUAUCCAAUGGCCCAUUACUCAGCUAUAAAGAGGCGUGAAGUUCUGACACACGUAAAACAUUGAUGAAGCCUGAAACCUUAUGCUAAGGGGAAAAGGCCAGACACAAAAGACCGCAUAUUGUAUGAUUUCAUCUCUGUGAAAUGUCCGGAAAUCUGUAGAGAUAGGAGGCAGAUUAGUGGUUUCCAGGGGCUGCAAGGAGGGAAGAGUGGGGAGCGACUGUUUAAUGGGAGUGGGGUUUCUAUCUGGAACCAUGAAAGUAUUCUGGAACCAGACGGUGAAGGUGGUUGCACAGCAGUAUGAAUGCACUUAAUGUUGCCGAAUUGUACACUUCGAAAUGGCUAAUUUUAUGUUACGUGAAUUCCACCUCAAUACAAGAUGUUUUAAAGCCUCGCAUUAAAAUAAGAACAGUGGCUAAGGUGAUAAAUAUUAUCGUUUGUGCAUUUUACCACACACGCGAGAAAACGAGUUAAGAUUUACCAUGUGCCGACCCUCUACAGCUCUCUCCUCCUACCGUCUUCUUGCUCUCCCAUGCCAGUCACACUCAACUCCUUCCAGGCCCUCUCACGCACCAGGAAUGCUUCUGCCUCAGGGCCUUUGCACCUACUGUUUGAGGCCUGCUCUUCCCCAGGUAUGGCUUCAAGUCUUGCUCAGCAAGCAGUUCCAGACCCUUCUAUUUAAAAUUGCAAACAUCUCCUCACUCAGCGCUUCAGAUGUCUCUUAGCUUGUUUUGUAUGUCUUCUUAUCAUAUCGCUUUUUUAUCUUACUCUCUCUCUCUCUCUCUCUCUCUCUCUCUCUCUCUCUCUCUCUCUUCCUGUACCAGAAUGCAAGCUCUUUGCAGGUAAAAUUUCUUAAAAUUGAUGUGCACCCAGGGUCUGACCCGUGCCCAAUACUCAGUAAAUGCUCGUACCUGGGUCAGUAGACUCACCCGGUGGCCCAUCUGCCUGCCCAGAGGCUCUAGCACCAUUCCCCUUGCCAAUCCAGUCUCUCCCCUCCCCCUCCCAAUCCUGUAGCCCCUCCUCCUCAGGGUCCCUGUCCUGCUCUUCCUUCUGCCUGAAGAGCCCACACUGUGCCUUCAUGGGAUUCUUCCUUUUUGUCCAUCACUAAGCCCUUCUCAUUCUUCCUUCAGGGAAAACCUGCUUUCUCCCCUUCCACAUCCAUCGUCAGUCCUGAAUCUCCCACGGCCAGUGACCCAGCCUGGAUUCUCGGUCCCGUUAGCCCCGAGCAAUCUUGUACAAGUGCAGAUCAGAUCAUGUCUCUCCAUUAGUUCUCGUUGCCCUUGGAAUAAAAUCCAAACUCCUUGCCAUGCCCUUGGGGGUCCCGAGUGACCCCUCCCCUCCCUACUCCCAGCUCAAGGGAGUGGCACUGGCUCUCCCCCUGGUUUUUACUGUCACUCAGGUGCGCGCUGGGCAGUCAGACGUCAAGCGGCCUUCCUUGCCCUCCCUCAGAAGCCUCCCUGCACCCAGCAGGCACCCGGCCUGGCGUCCUGCUUCAUUUCCAGCAUGGCCCCAAAUCUUCUCUCGUGGUGUGAGGCUAGGAGAGCAUGGAGUGGAUAUCUGGUGCAGACCAGCACUCUGCAGCCCCCACUGCUCUCUGAGAUCACCAGGGAACUUUUUUCCUUUUCAAUUUUUCAUUUAAAUUCUAGUUAGUUAACAUACAGUGCAAUAUUGGUUUCAGGAGUAGAGUUUGGUGAUCAUCCCUUACGUACAACACCCAGGGCUCAUCUUGCAAAUGACAUUUCGGUUAAAGGGUUAAGAUCUAAAAUCUACAAAGUACCUAUCAAACUCAGUACCC
Lynx canadensis (Canada lynx) is the source of this 2626-nucleotide long non-coding RNA. RefSeq lists it as uncharacterized. The record is from RefSeq and is a predicted model, not a curated record. Lineage: Eukaryota; Metazoa; Chordata; Mammalia; Carnivora; Felidae. The transcript is spliced from 2 exons.